CAUGCAGUCGAGCGAACAGAAGGGAGCUUGCUCCCGGAUGUUAGCGGCGGACGGGUGAGUAACACGUGGGUAACCUGCCUGUAAGACUGGGAUAACUCCGGGAAACCGGAGCUAAUACCGGAUAGUUCCUUGAACCGCAUGGUUCAAGGAUGAAAGACGGUUUCGGCUGUCACUUACAGAUGGACCCGCGGCGCAUUAGCUAGUUGGUGGGGUAAUGGCUCACCAAGGCGACGAUGCGUAGCCGACCUGAGAGGGUGAUCGGCCACACUGGGACUGAGACACGGCCCAGACUCCUACGGGAGGCAGCAGUAGGGAAUCUUCCGCAAUGGACGAAAGUCUGACGGAGCAACGCCGCGUGAGUGAUGAAGGUUUUCGGAUCGUAAAGCUCUGUUGUUAGGGAAGAACAAGUGCGAGAGUAACUGCUCGCACCUUGACGGUACCUAACCAGAAAGCCACGGCUAACUACGUGCCAGCAGCCGCGGUAAUACGUAGGUGGCAAGCGUUGUCCGGAAUUAUUGGGCGUAAAGGGCUCGCAGGCGGUUUCUUAAGUCUGAUGUGAAAGCCCGGGGCUCAACCGUGGAGGGUCAUUGGAAACUGGGGAACUUGAGUGCAGAAGAGGAGAGUGGAAUUCCACGUGUAGCGGUGAAAUGCGUAGAGAUGUGGAGGAACACCAGUGGCGAAGGCGACUCUCUGGUCUGUAACUGACGCUGAGGAGCGAAAGCGUGGGGAGCGAACAGGAUUAGAUACCCUGGUAGUCCACGCCGUAAACGAUG
This 773-nucleotide ribosomal RNA is filed under the name uncultured Bacillus sp. Its description in RNAcentral is "bacterial SSU rRNA". It matches the Rfam family "Bacterial small subunit ribosomal RNA", at positions 54 to 811 of the family's 1533-position model. The record is from RNAcentral. Lineage: Bacteria; Bacillati; Bacillota; Bacilli; Caryophanales; Bacillaceae.